Bos taurus (domestic cattle) is the source of this 73-nucleotide non-coding RNA. The record is from Rfam. Lineage: Eukaryota; Metazoa; Chordata; Mammalia; Artiodactyla; Bovidae.
ACCUAGAUAGCUCAGUCAGUAGAGCAUCAGACUUUUAAUCUGAGGGUCCAGGGUUCAAAUCCCUGUUUGGGCA